Manis javanica (Malayan pangolin) is the source of this 20740-nucleotide long non-coding RNA. RefSeq lists it as uncharacterized. The record is from RefSeq and is a predicted model, not a curated record. Lineage: Eukaryota; Metazoa; Chordata; Mammalia; Pholidota; Manidae.
UUUUUUGCUGUAGAUACUUAAAAAAUUUGGUAUUUAAAUUUUUUUAACUUUUACUUUGUAAUCAAUAAACUACUUCCCUUUGGAAUUUUUAAGAGUUUUAUGCACAGAAAUAAUUAAAAUUUUAACUAUAUGACAGAAUGUAAAAAGGAGUAUUUGAAGGUCCACUCUGGUCUAGGUCUUGCUUUUGUUCCCAUCCUAAUGCUGCACUAAUGACCAACCUAUCAGGCAGAAAACUUGAAUUCCUGCAGUCUUGUUUCCUCUACUAAAAUAUAUUAUAGUGGAGUAUUAAUGCCCACAAUUUGAAUUUUCUAUUGUGCCCUGCUUCCAGUGCUGCCCUCAGCAAUACCCGAUCUAGCUCUAGCCCGAGUCCCAGUCUUAAUUCUCUCUAAAGCGACUCAGUUUGCAUUAAAUAGAUGCUCAAAGUAGGUUGUCCAUUUCACAUUCUUUAGACUGGGAUACCCUAUCUACCUCCAGCAUUGCUCAUAUUCAGUGCUAUCUAAGUCAUCAUUUUCAAUUAAUGUGCCCAAUCCCGUUUGUCCAAUGUCCCAUGUUAGAACAAAGAAUCUGUACCCUUCACAUUAAUGUUAAUCAAGAGCUUCGUAUCAGAUAAUUAUUGUCCAUAAUUGUAGUUACUUCUCAAUCCCCUGCCUUUAGGGAAGGAGAAACCUUUCCUCUGCCAUUGCUGCAGUAGUCACAGUCCCAAUUUUCUGGGAAAUGUUCAUAUAUUGUGCUGACCCACCUCCAUCUGAACUCUGCACCGAGUGAAAUUCUAAUUGACCAUAACCUUACCCAUUGGAUUAAAUCCCACCCUUUUGCAUUUAGCAUGGGGUGCAGAGAACUCAAGUCUUUGGUUCAACACUUAAUGUGUUUAGUCCCAAUUACCAUAGCCUUGUUCAUUAAACAAGGCACCCUAUCAUUUUUGCCCACAUUCUAGGGUGUUCUGCUAUUCUUGGACAAUUAAAGUACCAAGCUGUAAUUGCACAUUGUCUUGUCCAUUAAUCAAAAGACGUCCAUCCCAUUUGUAUUGCUGAUAGGCAGUGCUGACUACCUGAGACCACAUUCCCUGAAUUAUUGAGUUGAAUCCCAAAUGUUCAUACCCCAUUCAUUACACAAGUACUUUGCAACUUCUUUGUACUACAGCGAGGCACAUUCUCAAAAGUUCUUUACUUUGAAAUAUUAAUGGUACCAUAAAACUGCUCAUGGUCCUGCCUAACAGUUAAGACCCACUUAUGCUCUUUCAUUGCUCCUAGGUAGUGUAGACCACCUACCACCAUACAUUAAUCUAUAAAACCCCCACCACCCACUGUCCCACUAGUUAGCAUAGGAUAUCCCUUACCACUAUGUCAUUACUUGUGAAGAGUUCUGAAUACUCAAGUUCCCUUCUCUUAAAAUUAAUGUGCAUAACUGUAUAUAUCCAUGGUCCGGUGCAAUAAAAAAUAGAAUUUCUCACCUCACCUCUUUGGGAUAUUGCUAGGGAAUGCAGAUUAUUCAAGAACUCAGUUCUUGGGCAUUUAAUUUACAGUUGCAGUUCUCCAGAGUCCUGGCCAUUGGACAGGGCCUCUGUAGCCCAUCUGCAUGCUGUAAUGUGGCCAGAUCAUACAAGGAACCUUCUCUUGAAUUGGUAAUGUCAAUGAUUACAUUCAUCCAUGUCCUGUGAACUAGCUACACCCAUUCCAUUUGUUUUCUCGCAGGGGACUCUUACUAAAGAAAUAAGCACUAGGUCAAGAUGCACAAUCCUAAUGGCUAGAACUGAGCCUUUCCUAAUGGCUAGAACUGAGCCUUCUGUAUCAGGAACCCUGUACCGUCUUUACAGUUGGAAGGUGCUGAUUACCUAAGGCUAUUUUCUGAAAUUGUUCAUGUGAAAAAUUACAAUCCCAGUUUUGUUCUAACCUAGGAUCCCAUCCCCAUCUAAUUUGCUUUGGAUUAUUGCAGAGGGUGCUUAGGCCUGUUAAUGUGCUUAAAUGCAGCUACAGUCCUCUAUGCUAGUAUGUUAGUGAAGGAUUCCAUCCUCCUGAAAUUGCUUUACAUCAUUGUAGUGGGAAUUUAGGACUGUUAAUGUGCUUAAUUACAGCUAUAGUCCCUUCUGUUAGUCUACAAUCCCAUCCCCUUCUACUCCCUUGCAUUACAGCAGACAGUAUUUUCGACUAUUAAGGUGCUUAAGUGCAGUUACACUCCUUUCUGCUAGUCUAGGAUCCCAUCCAGUCCUACUCUCUUUGCAUCACAGCAGAGGGUACUUGGGACUGUUAAUGUGCUUAAAUGCAGCUACUGUCCCUUUUGUUAGUCUUGGAUCCCAUCCGCCCUAGCUCCUUUUGCAUCUCACUGAAGGUACUUGGGACUGUUAAUGUGCUUAAAUGCAGCUACAGUCUCUUUUGUUAAGGAGGAUUCCAUCCUCCCCCAAGUCCCAUUACAUUCUUGUAGAGGAUGCUUGGGACUGUUAAUGUGCUUAAAUGUAGCUACAGUCCAUUCUAUUAGUUUAGGAACCUUUCCACUUGAUGUGAAUUACAGGAGAGCUACUGUCCUCCCUUCUGUUAGUCUAGGAUCCCAUCCCCUACUACUGGCUUUGCAUUACCACAGAAGGUACAAGGGACUGUUAAUGUGCUCAAAUGCAGCUAUGGUCUCUCAUAUUAAUCUAGGAUCUUAUUCACACCGAACUUCUUUUAUGUUAUGCAGGAGUUACUUAGAACUGUUAAUGUGCUUAAUUGCAGCUACAAUCCAUUCUAUUAGCCUAGGAACAAGUCCCUUUCUACUUUAUAUGAAUUACAGGAGAGUGAACUUGGGACUGUUAAUAUGCUUAACUGUAAUUACAGUCUCUUACGUUAACCUAGGAUCCUAACCCAACUAAUUCUCUUUCCAUUAUUGCAGAGGAUGAGUGGGCCUGUUAAUGUACCUAAGUACAGUACAGUUCCCUUUGUUAGUCUAGGAAAUCAUGCCCUAUUACUUCCUUUGCAUCAUAGAGGAUAUUUAGGACUGUUAAUGUGCUUAAUUGCAUCUACAGUCCCUUCUGUUAGUCUAGGAUCCCAUCCCCCUACUACAGGGUUUGCAUUACCGAGGGACUUUGAAAGUGCUUAAAUGCAGCUACAGUCCCUUCUGUUAAUGAAGGAUUCCAUCCUCCCCAACUCCUGCUGCAUCACAGCAGAGGGUACUGGGGACUGUUAAUGUGCUUAAAUGCAGGGGUGGUCCCUUAUGUUACUCUAGGAUCUCAUUCACACCUAACUUCCUUUACACUAUGCAGGGGUUACUUAGAACUGUUAAUGUGCUUAAUUGCAGCUACAGUCCAUUAUAUUUGUCUAGGAACCAAACCCUUUCUACUUGAUUCAGAUUACAGGAGAGCAAACUUGGGACUGUUAAUGUGCUUAAAUGCAAUUAAAGUCCCUUAUAUUAACCUAGGAUCACAACGUACCUAAUUCUCUUUCCAUUAUUGCAAAGGGUGCUUGGGACUGUUAAUGUACUUAAAUGCAGCUGAAGUUCUUUUUGUUAGUUUAGGAUCCCAUCCCCUUGUACUCCCUUUGCAUUACAGCAGAGGGUAUUUGGGACUUUAAUGUGCUUAUAUACACCUACAGUCCCUUUUGUUAGUAUUGGAUCCCAUCCCCUUGUACUCCCUUUGCAUUACAGCAGAGGGCAUUUGGGACUUUAAUGUGCCUAAAUGCAGCUACACUCCCUUAUGUUAGGGUACAAUACCGUCCUGCCCAACACCCUUUACAUCACAGUGGAGGGUAAUUGGGACUGUUAAUGUACUUAACUGCAGCUACAGUUCCUUGUUAGUCUACAAUCCAUUCUCUUCUACUGUCUUUGCAUUACCACAGAGGGUACAAGGGACUGUUAAUGUGUUUAAAUGCAGCUGUAGUCCCUUAUGUUAAUCUAGGAUCUCAUUCGCACCUAACUUCCUUUACAUUAUUCAGUGGUUACUUAGGAUUGUUCAUGUGCUUAAUUGCAGCUACAGUCCAUUCUAUUAGCCUAGGAACCAAUCCCUUUCUACUUGAUGUGAAUUACAGGAGAGCAAACUUGGGACUGUUAAUGCACUUAAAUGCAGUUAAAGUCCCUUAUAUGAACCUAGGAUGCAACCCACCUAAUUCUCUUUCCAUUAUUGCAAAGGGUGCUUUGGACUGCUAAUGUGCUUAAAUGCAACUGAAGUUCUUUUUGUUAGUUUAGGAUCCCAUCCCCUUGUACUCCCUUUGCAUUACAGCAGAGAGUAUUUGGGACUUGAAUGUGCUUAAAUGCAACUACGAUCCCUUCUGUUAGUGAAGGGUUCCGUCCUCCCCAACUCCCGCUGCACCACAGCAGAGGCUAUUUGGGACUGGUACUGUGCUGUAAUGCAGCUACAGUCUGUUUUGUUAACCUAGGAUCUCAUACCCACCUAACUCGCUUAAUGCUAUUACAGAGGGUACCUGGACUGCUGAUAUGCUUAAAUGCAGCUCUUGCCCCUUAAAUAUGUUUGGGAUUGCAUCCUUCUAGAGAGUACUUUGCAUCAUAACAGAGAGUACUUGGACUGUUAAUGUGCUUAACUGCAGCUAUAGUCCAUUCUGUUAGCCUAGGAACCAGUCCCUUACUACUUCGUAUGAAUUACAGGGGAGUAAACUUGGGACUGUUAAUGUGCUUAAAUGCAAUUAUAGUCCCUUAUGUUAACCUAGGAUCGCAAACUACCUAAUUCUCUUUCCAUUAUUGCAGAGGGUGCUUGGGACUGUUACUGUGCUUAAAUGCAGCUAUGGUCCCUUAUGUUAAUGUAGGAUCUCAUUCACACCUGACUUCUUUAUAUUAUGCAGGGAUUACUUAGGACUGUUAAUGCGCUUAAUUACAGCUACAGUCCACUCUUUUAGCCUAGGAACCAGUCCCUUAAUACUUGAUGUGAAUUACAGGAGAGUGAGCUUGGGACUGUUAAUGUCCUUAAAUGCAAGUACAGUCCCUUUAUUAGUCUUUGAUCCCAUCCCCUUCUGCCCCCUUUGCAUCACGGCAGAGGGUAUUUGGGACUUAAAUAUGCUUAAAUGCAGUCAUAGUCCCUUAUUAACCUAGGAUCCCAACCCACCUGAUUAAUUUUCUACAUAUUGUAAGGUAUGCUUGGGACUUUAAUGUGCUUAAAUGAAGAUACUAUCCCUUCUGUUAGUGCAGGAUUCCAUUCUCCCCAACUCUCCUUGCAUCACAGCAGAGGGUAUUUGGGACUGUUGCUGUGAUUUAAUACAGCUGAUGUCCCUUUUGUUAACCUAAGAUCCCAUUCCCACCUAACUCCCUUAACGCUAUUACAGAGGGUAGCUGGACCGUUGACAUGCUUAAAUGCAGUUUUUGCUCCUUACAUAUGUUUAGAUUCCAUCCUUCCACCUUCCUUUGCAUCACAACAGAGUACUUGGGACUGUUAAUGUGCUUAAAAGCUGGUAUAGUUCCUUUUGUUGGUAGGAUCCCAUCCCUUUCUACUCAUAUUUGCAUUACUACAGAGAGUACUUGGGAUUGUUAAUGUGCUUAAAUGCAGUUAUUGUUCCUUAUGUUGGGGUAGGAUUCCACUCUCCCCACACCUUUUGAUCAUAGUGGAGAGUACUGGGACUGCUAGCAUGCAUCUUUAGUCCCUUCUGUUAGUCUUGGAACCUAUCCCAACCUAGUCUCUCCGACCACAGAGGGCACAAAGGACUGUUAAUGUGUUUAAUGUGGCUGUGGUCCCUUCUGUUAGUCUAGAAUCCCAUCCCCUACUACUGUCUUUGCAUUACCACAGAGGGUACAAAGGACUGUUACUGUGCUUAAUUGUAGCUAUGGUCCCUUAUGUUAAUCUAGAAUUUCAUUCACACCUAACUUCCUUUACAUUGUACAGGGGUUACUUAGGACUGUUAAUGUGCUUAACUGCAGCUACAGUCCACUCUAUUAGCCUAGGAACCAGUUCCUUUCUACUUGAUGUGAAUUACAGGAGGGUAAAUUUGGGACUGUUAAUGUGCUUUAAUGCAAUUAAAGUCCCUUAUGUUAACCUAGAAUCCCAACAUACCUAAUUUUCUUUACAUUACUGCAGAGGAUGCUUGGGACUAUUCAUGUGCUUAAAUGCAGCUACAGUGCCUUCUGUUAGUCUUGGAUCUCAUCCCCUUCUGCUCCCUUUGUGUUAAGAGCAGAGGGUAUUUGGGACUUGCUGUGAUUUAAUGCAGCUGGUGUCCGUUUUGUUAAAGGAGGAUCCUAUACCCACUUAGCUCCCUUAGCACUAUUAGGUAGGGUACCUGGACCAUUGAUAUGCUUAAAUGCAGUUUUUGCUCCUUAAAUAUGUUUAGAUUCCAUCCUUCUACCUUCCUUUGCAUCACAACAGAGAGUACUUGGGACUGUUAAUGUGCUUAAAAGCCGCUAUAGUCCCUUUUGUUCAUAGGAUCCCAUCCCUUUCUACCCGCUUUUCAUUACCACAGAGGGCACAAGGGACUGGUAAUAUGUUUAAUGUUGCUAUCUUCCCUUAUUAGUCUGGGAUCCCACCCCUCCUACAUUACUUCAGGGUACAAGGGACUGUUGAUGUGCUUAAAUGCAGUUAUGGUCCCUUAUGUUAACCUGGAGUCUUAUCCCCACCUAACUCCCUUUGAAUUAUUGAAGGGUAACGUGAGACUUAAUAUGCUUAAAUGAAGCUACAGUCCUUUUAGUUAUUGUAGGGUAUCACCCCCUUGUUGCUUUGCAUUAAAAGAGAGUACAGGGAACUUCUCAUGUGCUUAAAUUCAGUUACAAUCCCUCCUGUUAGCUUAGGAUCCAAUCCCCAUAUGACUCCCUUUACAUUAUUGCAGAGGGUACAAGGGACUUUUACUGUGCUUCAUUGCAGCCACAGUCCCUAAUGUUAACCUAGGAUGGCAUUCCCCCUCCCACUUUCUUUGCAUUAACACAGAGGGUACGAGGAUUGGUAAUGUGUUUAAAUGUACCUGUGGUCACUUAAUAAUAAUCUAAGAUCCUGUCCUCAUCUAAUGCCCUCUACAUUGCUUUGGAGGGUACAAGGGACUGUUAAAGUGCAUAAAUGCAAGCUCUGGUCCCUUAUGUUAAUCUAGGAUCCCAUUCCCACCCAACUCCCUUUGCAUCACUGCAAAGGGUUUCUGGGACUGUUAAUGUACUCAAAUGCAGCCAGAGUCCCUUUUGUUAGUCUAGGAUCUCAUACUCUCCUACUCACUUUGCAUUACCACAGACAGUAUUAGGGGCUGUUAAGUGCAUAAAUGCAUGUGUCCCAUCAGUUAACCUAGGAUCCCAUCCCCACCUAACUCCUUUGCAUUAUUGCAGAGGGUACCUGGGACUAUUAAUAUGCUUGUAAAUGCACUGCAGUUCCUUUUGUUAGUCUAGGAUCCCAUCCCUUUCUACUUGUGCAUACCUCAGGGUAGAAGGGACUGUUAAUGUGCUUAAAUGCAUCUCUUGUCCCUAUGUUAACCUAAGAUCCCAUCCCCUCCAACUCCCUUUGCAUUACUGUAGAGGGUACUUGAGACCUUUAAUGGGCUUGAUUGUAGCUGCGGCCCCUUCUUUUAGUCAAGUUUCCCUUGCCCUCCAAUUCUCUGCUUUUUAGUAGAGGGCACUUGGGAUUAAUGAUGUGCUCAUCUGCAACUGUGGUCCCUUGAGUUAAUCUAGGAUCCCAUCCCUUCCUACUCUUCUGUAGGACUUGGGGGUACUUGGGACAGAAAGGUGCUUAAUUGUAGCUAGAGUCCUGUAUGUUAGUCUAGGAUCCCAUGCCCUCCAACUCCCUUUACAUUACCUGGAAGGAUUUGGGGGACCAUUAAAGUGCUCAGUUGCAGCUAUGGUCUUAUGUUGGUCUAGUUUCCCAUCCUUUUCACUCCUUUUGUAUGACCUGGAAGCAGAUUUGGGACUAUUAACAUGCUCAUUUGCAGCUGUGGUCCCUUCUUUAGUCUGGAGUCGCCUGCCCUCUAACUUACUUUCCUUUACCAUAGAUGGUACUUUGGACUGUUAAUGUGCCUAAAUGAAGGUAUGGUCCCUUUUGUUAAUCUAGGAUCUCACCUCCUUUCCAUUACUUGGUUGCAGAUUUGUUACUGAAAGGUGCUUAACUGCAGCUGUGUUCUGUUGUGGUAGUCUAGGAUCCAACACCUUCCAACUCCUUUGCAUUACAGCAGAGGGUGUUUGGGGCUGUUAAAUGCUCACUUGUAGCUGUGGUCCUUUCUCUUGUCUGGAAUCCUAUGUCACCAACUCCUCUGACGUUCCCUGGCAGUUUUCGGGACUAUUAAAGUACACCAUUUCCCAUGGUCUUAUACUGCAUUUACAGUACUUGGGAUUGUAUUUGGGACUGUUAAAAGUGCUUAAUUGAGCUGUGGUCCCUUCCUGUUAGUAUGGUUUCCCAUGGCCUCUUUACCCUCUUUGCAUUACACAGAGGGUACUUGGGACUUUGAAAGUGCUUAACAGCAGCCAUGGUCCCUUUUGUAUUUUAGGAUCUCAUGACCUCCCACUCCCUUUACAUUACCUGGAAAGGUUUGGGGCUGUCAAAGUGCUCGAUUGUAGCUGUGGUCCCUUUCUGCUAGUCUGGGGAUCCAUGCCUUCCAAUUUCGUUUGCAUUACCACAGAGAGUACUUGGGACUGAAGGCAGGUGUGAUCUCUUUUGUUAGUUUAGGAUCCCAUAAUCUCCUAAUCCCUUUAUGUUACCUGGGAAGGCACUUGGGACUGUUAAGGUGCCUAACUGCAGCAGUGGUCCCUUCUGUUAGUCUAUGAUACAGUCCCCUCCUACUCCCUUUUCAUUACCUCCAUGGUACUUGAGAUUGUCAAGGUGCAUCCCUUCCUCUCACACCCUGUUAGCAUUACAGCAUUACCUGCUGAACACAAGGCUGCCUUUUUUGCACUGUUACUGUGCAUAAUUGCAUUUGUCCCUCUUACUCUGCAGUAUAUAAAAUCCUCACUUAUUUCCCUUGUAUUCAUCAGUGGAUGUCCUUUACUCAAGACCUUUGUGCCUGGAUAAAGUGAGCUGUGGUAAUUGACUAUAGCUAUGUCUUUCAUUUAAGUCCCCUGUACUCUUUGUUUAAAAGAAGGUGUAUUAACUACAACAUUUACUUUUUCUGGGACUACUGAUGUGCAAAAUUCCAAUGUUCAUGGUCCCUCCCUUUAAUAUCCCACCUGUUUCAUAUUACAGCAGGGGAUGCUAGUCACCCAAAGUCCUUCAUUCGGGACUUUUAAUGCACAUAUGCCCUCCUGAUAAUAAGCUAAUAUCCUUAUUUCUUGGUAUUAUAGCAGGGGUAUUAUACUGACCACCUGAAGUCUUUUCUUUUGGCCAGUUUAAUGUGCAAAAUUGCACUAGGACCUGAUCCCCAUCACACCUCCUUUACAUGAGGGUGCUGAGUAUCUAUGGCUACUUCUCCUGUACAGUUUAAGUGUGCAUAAUUUCAGUAAUCCAUGCUCCUUUAUGUCAGAAUGGGAUCCCACUUCCUCACCCCAUUUACAUUACUGCAGGGGCUUCUGGCUAGCCAAGAUUCACUCUCUUGGAUUGUUAAUGUGCAGAGUUAUAUUUACUUCUGCACCUGUAUAUCACGUUUAAGACCCUCUUCAUAUUAUUAAUAUUCCAGCAGGAGGUGCCUAUUGCUCAAGACCUUACACACUAAUGUACUUAAUGUAUACACUCUUAUUGUCUUAUAGACACACUAAGUUGUCCACUACUGUGCCUUUUAGAUCAUAUUCUGCACUUACUGAAACAGGUACUGUCACACAUCAUAAAGCCCUUCUCUUGGGACUGUGGAUAUGUAAUUACAGUUGUCCGUGGUCUUGGGUUACCUUGGGUUCCUGAUUGCUUUUCAUACCCUCUUUGCUUUACUGCAUGGGUUACUGUCCACUUACGGCCCCUCUCUCAAACUGUGAAUGUGCAUGAUGACAAUUACAUUACGAUCCUUUCCCCUCACAGUCCCUUUUAAGUUUUGCAGGAAUUUUUACCCCUAAGGGGCCAUUUCUUGGCCUGUUAAUAUGGUUAAUUGUCUUUGGGUUCCUGUGAAUUAGGCAAGGACACCUCCCCCCACCCCCUUCUCUUUCAGCAGGGAGGGCCCCUUCCCCAAGAAUGUUAAACUUGGACAGUCCAGGUUCACAAUUGCAAUCAACCACAGCCAUGCACCUUGGACAUUAAUGUGCAUAAUUGCACAUGGCUUGUCCCACUUAAGAUCCUACCCUCUCAGACCCCUUUUGUAGUACAGCAGGGGUACUGGUCACUAAGGCCUCUUUUCAUGGCUUGCUAUUGUGCAUAAUUGCAUUUAUACAUGUUCCAUUACACUGGAUAAGGAUAUCUCUCUCCCCUCCCCCUUGGACUUUUAGCAAGGAAUGCUUAUUACCUUAAGAUCCUUCUAUUUUAUACAAAGUGCACAAUUUUAAUUGACCACACCAUUUCCCUGGACAUUAAUGUACAUAACUGCAACUUAUUUUGCACUACUCUAUUGCCUUCAAGUAUACUUGGACCCUUAAGUGCUGAUCCCUCAGUUCCCUUUUCUUGUUCUGUUUUAUGUGCAUAAUUGCAUUUGUCUGGGGUCUUGUACACUAGACAAGGACCACUCCCCCUCACCGCCAGCCCCCCCCACUUCCUCUGCCUUCCUAUAUGAUAAGAUGGAGCCCACUGCUAAGACCUUUACAUUUAGACAGUUAAGUACAGAAUUGCAGUGUUCCACAACUGUCACUUCCAGGACUGUUGUACCUUUGCAUUACUGCAGGGGAUACUGUUUUCCCCCAAGGCCCCUUCUAGAGGACUGUUAAUAUACAUAAUUGAAACUACUGUCUUCCUCAGCAGAUGUCUUAAAGUCUUAUCGCCUCAGCUUCCCUUUACAGUACAACAGUGUGCACUGAUCAACCAAGGCCCUCUGCUGUGCAACUGCAUUUUCUCCUGUACACUAGAUAAGGGCCCUCCCUACCAGCUUCCUUAGCAUUUUCAGCAGGCAGUGCCCACUAUUCAGGACCCUCACUUGGAAAAUAUAUGUGCACAGAUGCAAUUUCCUCAGCAUGUCUUAUAGCAGAUCCCCUGUAUCCUCUGCUUAGAGAAAGGAGAUACUGGUUACCUAAUGCUCACCCUUUUGGACUUUAAUGUGCAUAAUUGCAAUUGUCCAUCUCUGCUGUUGGAUUAGGAUUGCAGCCCCUCAACCUCUUUGCAUCAGGGGCAUGUUAACCAUGAGUGAGCUCUUCUGGAGAUAAUAUUAACGUGUAUAAUUGUAUUUAUAUAUGGACCUGUACAAUAGGAAAGGAUGCUCUGUGCCCCUACUGCUGCCUGUGUAUUGCUGCUGAGGUAUGCUAUCAGGACCUUACCUCUUCGACAAUUAAUAUGGACCAGUAACAAUGAAUCAAAGUACUGAUCAUUAGAUAGGACCCUUGUACCCCUUUUCCAUACAUACAUCAGGGAUACAAAGGCCCCUUUCUUGGACUAUUAAUGUGAAUAUCACAGUUGUCUCUGCCCUUUUCUGUUAAGAGUAGGAUACCAUUUGCUUUUGCCCCUUUUGCAUUACUGCAGGGGCAGCUGAUCAUACAAAACUUCCUGGGACUGUUAAUGAGCAUGAUGGCAAUUAGCAAUGAGUUUUUCCUUCCUGGCCUUGUUAGGCAAAACACUCCCAGCCCCAGUUGCCCAUGGUAUUAUCCAGUAUAAACACUGCAGUAUGCCAUGAACCUGUCCAUCAAACAGUGACACAUACUCCCACUCCUUUUGUAUUGCUGCAGUGUGUAUGAAAUUCCCAGUAGUCAUGGUCAUACCCUUGUCUUCCCUCUCCCCACCUCCUGCCUGCCUUUGGACCCUUAGGAACUAUUAAUGCUUACGAUUCCAGGAGUCCAUGUAUCCCGCCAUUAGACAAGAUAGGGCUCCUCUGCCCCUCCCACCUCCACGUUGCCCCUUUGCAUUGUUGCUGGGGAAUGUUCAUUGGGCAAGGAAGGCCCUUUGUCUUGGAGUUCAGAUGUUCACAAUCUCAGAUGUCAUUGGUUUACCCACUUUGUAUUGCUCCAAUGCCUCAAGUUGCACUUUCCCUGGUCCUGCCCAUCAGAAAUGGACCCCUGCACUUCCCUUCUUUGCAUUGCUCUUGAGUAGCAGUGACUACCCAAGCCCCCUCUGUGUAUUAAUACAGUACUGACCAUCCUAUGUUUCAGCCCAUCAGACCAGUAUCUCCAUACCACUUUGAUGUAUUUGUGCAGUGUUGACUACAAGCAGCAGGCCUGAACUAGGUGGAUGGGCCUUCACUCCUUUUCUUGCAUUUAUGAAUGAUCUCAGUUCAAUUAUUGUCACAUUCUGGGGACAGGAACCAUCCCUGCCCACCCUUGUUACUGCUUUACUGGGGAAAAUAUUAGAGGUAGCUGGAUUGCCACCCUUUAGGAUUUUUAAUAUAUAUGUACAAGUAUCAGUUGAAAAUUAUCUCCCCAGAGAGGGUUAGCAUUAUCUCUGCAUUCUUCUUUCAGAGCAGGCUCCUGGCUAAGAAUCUCUCAGUUGUUGACUAUUGCUAUGGUACAGUGUCAGUUGCCAGGAUACAACCAAACCGUUGCUGUUAAGUUUUUAUUUUUUAAGAAAGACAUGUGGAUUGCAAGAUGGAACUGAUAACCUGGUCAUUAAGUUUCCGAAGUCUAAAAACCCCAUUUUUAUGAUGUGCUUGAUGACCAGUGUCUCUCAUUUGAUUAAGGGUGGUGGGUCUGUGGAUAGACCACUGUGACGCUUCCUGUUUUAGUAUGAGCAAAGUAGUUCUGGAGUGGAAAUCUUAAGAACAGUACGUUUGGGUUCUACCACCAUUUUAAACCAUUUUAAAACUAUUCUUUGUUUGGGCUUUACCAUCAUUCACUAUUAGAAAAACUGCCUAAACUUUCUAACACUUAAAUUUCUUCAUCUGGAGCACCAGGCAGUCCUUAACUUAUUUCAAGAAGAUUGCUAUAAAAGGAUGUAGAGAACAGAAUGCUGAGGUGCUUUUGAAAACCACAGAUCACCUUGUUUGAUUAACUUAUUAUAUAAAAUACACCCUGUUUAAUUCAGCUUAUUUAAAGUAGCCUGAAGCACCACACUGAAGUGAGGACUUAGAAAUGAUGGGACCAGUUUCCCUGUUUUAUAUUAAAAGAAAUGUAAGCCAAGAUCUAAUCAUUAUUCUGGAUAUAAAUGUCAACAGUGAGAUAGCUGCCUUGUAAAAAUGAAUAAUAAGCCAGCCUUUAGUGUGCAGGGUGUUUGGUGGCAGAGAAGUAUUAAAUACGGAACUUCUGAAGCAAAUAACUAGUCAUCACAGCAGCAGUUCUUUGUAAUCACUGAAAAAGAAUACUAUUCCUCUGAGAAGAAUGUCAAGAUUGGCCCAGCUCAGGGUGCAGUUUGCACUACUGCUCCUUGGACAUCUGUAAGAAGAGUCUCUGGCUCUUUAGGAUACUGGAUGAAUUCUGAGACUUCUGUAACCCCAUUCAAGAGGAAGGACGGAUCAAUUUCACGUGGAUUGAGACUGACACUAAACCAGCAUGCAAAGAUCUUCCUCGGAAGAAUAGGCUUGUUGCUUUACAGUGUUAGGGACCUAUUCCCUUUGACGAUCCCUAGGUGGAGAUGGGGCUUGAGGAUCCUCCAUGGGAAAAGCUCACUACCACUGGGCAACAACCCGAGGCCACAACACUCUACCAAGAUUUCUUUCCUGGGCCCAGUAGGAAGAUGAAGUCUCAAGACAACCACCACACAUCAGAGCUCCUGAUUGUUUCCUUCAUAGCUGCCAAAGAAUUAUCCCUCCCAAAAGCAGUGCAGAGAGCAAUAAAUAUGAACACACCAAAGGAAGAGCAACAUGCCUGGCACUCUAGCAUUUUACACUAGCAGAAUGAAUGUGUAUUUCUUUGCUUGUCUAAUUCCUCCGUGAAUGUCUUUGGUCUUUCUUCUCUAUCUACAGUAUAUCUUAUUGUUCCCACAAGUCUCUUCCUGGUUUCUUUGUGUAUCUUUGUCUCAUUUUACACUUGUUUGUCCCCAAGAGUUAUCUGUGCCAUGUCUUAGAUGUCUGCCUUUAGUUUUUUCAUUUUAUUGCUGAUUCUCUUUGCUCUCCUAGAUAUGGCUCUUUUUUUACUGUUUUCUAUCCCUUUAUGGCUCUGAAUCAUAUGCUGUGUGCUUUUUGCUGGUUUCUUGUUCUGCCUAUCUCUCUUUUCUCUGUGCGAACUCGUUUGUUCAUCAUUCCCUCUCCUUGUUGCCUUGACGUUUCACCUUCUGAUUCUGACCUUCCUUCUGGUUGUUUCUACUCCUUAUCUUGCAUUUCUUUCUGUAUGUCCUCUAUAUCUGUCUUGUGCUAUUUUCUCUCUUUUUCUCCUGCUCUGUGUGUCUGUGUCUCUACUCUCUGUGAUUUUCCAUUUUCAGUGUUCAUCUCUCUGUGCUCUUCUUUCUUCUCUGCCUUUUCUCUUAUACUCACCUUUGAGUAUUUCAGCUUCUUCAUGAAUCUGUGUCACCCCCUCUGAUUUCAUGCAGUCUUCUCUCCUUGCAUAUUUUGUGUGUGUGUAUGUGUGUGCUACUGUAGGUGUGUCUGUGGUAAAGGGGAUUCCCAGCCCCUUCCUAAUAGGUGCAGACUGUCACCUAUGAAAAUAAGCAUUGCAGAGCUGUUCCUUACCCCAGGCUGCCCUCUGAGAUGAUAAAAGACCUAACAUGGAGAAGGUGGAAGGCCCAAAGUAGAAGACAGAUGGAUUGAGACUUGAGACCUAAAGACUAAAAUGGAAAACCUGUGUCCCAAGAUAGAUGGAAACCUCAGGCCUGAGACUGUCUGAAGCCCUAAGAGUUACAAUGUACAGAAGGUAGGCCUUAUUGGACAGAGACUUAAAGACCUGACUGAAUUGGGUGGAAGGCUCAAGUCUUGAAUUAUAUAAAAAGCUGAAGACCCAGGAUGGGAGCUAAGGAAGGCCCAAGAUAAGGCCUAAGAUAAAAAAGCCUUAGCUUAAACACCUAAGACUCAAGGAUGGAAGACCUCAGACAAACAUAAAGACCGAGGACUCAAGCCUCUCUAGAUGAAUAGGAUGCCCAAGAGAGAAAAGUAACUCAAGACUAAAUCAGGUGGGAAGCUGGAGGGCCAUGACCCAGAAUCUAAGGAUAGAAGUCCCAGGACGAGAGGAAACCCAAAGAUGAGAACUCUAAGCCCCACCUCUUUUCUGCUGUUACCUUCCCUGCUCCUGGACAUUUUCCAUUCUCCCUUUCCAGUUUUUAUAUCUCCAUUUAAGCCCACUUUUGAAGUGUUCUUUUUGAUGUUGCUAUUACCUUAAACAUAUCUUUAGCUGGCAAUAUUAUGCUUAGGCCAUUCUUAAGCCAGUUUUCAUCAUAAUUUUGAACCUUUCAUCAAGUGUUUGGUGCUUUUUAGACUUAGACUUCUUUUCACCACUUGACAGAAACAUGACAGGUAACAUUGUAUUUCAAUCCUCCAUUUUCCUCAGAAACUCUAGGCUGAUGAGAAGAGGAAAGCAUCAGGUUGUUGGGGAAAAAAGUGCCAGGCUAUCUAGAGAAAAUGUGAAGAGAUGCUCCAGGCCAGUGAGAAGAAUUAGACAAAAGACAGGUUUGCCAGCCUGCUCAGAAACACCAGCCAGCAAUACCUUAUUUCUUUGAGGUUGGGUGAGCAGGAUUCCUGGGGUUUGGGAUUUCUAGUGAUGGUUACAAAAAGGAAUGAAAUGACGGCCUGUGAAAGAGUAAAGCCCCAAGGAGCCAGCCUGAACUCCCUGCUCAUGGUAGUGGCCUAAUUUGAUGGGCUGUGUCAAGCCUGUCCCUGGGUUUAAUGCCCAUUUCUAGCCUUAAAGGAGUGAGAACUUGGGAACAAUUAGUAGGUUUAAUCCUUUCUUUGACUUUUUUCCCUCCUUACCAUGAGGGAAGACAAUUUGAAUGAUUGUGAAUAUAUUUGAAAGCACUCUAAAACACAGAAAAAAGCAAGGCACUCUCAUUCAUAGUAUAUUAACAGCCAUGCAUGGCUAACAUUUGAAAGUGCACUGUCAGCUCUGAAGCAUUAUGUAAAUAGGGUCAUCACACCUUUUUUGUAAGGGUCAGAUGGUAAAUAUUUUAGGCUUGAAGAGCCAUAUAGUUUUUGUUGCUUUAAAAAAAAACGCUUUAAAAAGGAAAAGCUAUUCUUAGCUCCUGAACCGAGUGGAUUUGGUCCGUAGGCCAUAGUUUACCGCCCCUGAUAUAAAUGCCAGGGACUGUGUGCUGAAUAAUACUAAUUUCCUCCUGUGGGCCUGUCCCUGUGCUGGGUGCUGAGGAUGCAGUAAUUCGGUAUGAUCACAUCCAGUUUAACUAAACUUAAAAUGUGAAUGUGCUUUUGUAAACUGUAAAGCACCUAAAGACUUAAGGAGUUUCAGAGUUGAUGAAUGAAUAUUGAUUGCAUAGUGUACACAUUCUACUGGGCUAAGGCUCUGUGGAUACAAAGAUUAAAAGAAGCAUGAAUAAAGUGCUGCACCAAAAGUAUAAUACUUCACAUAGACCAGGAAUUAAGUGUUUGAUAAAUGCGCAAUUCAUGUAUUUGUGGCCAUCAUGUUUUUGCUGCUAUGGUGAUUUUGAGUAAAAAGAGUAUCCAGGUAGCAAACACAUGGAAACUUCUUUUAAACUAUAAUACAUCACAAACACAAGGGAUUAAGCUAUUGUGAUCAAUAAUGUGCCAGAUAUACUAGGCACUAAAGAUAUCAAAGAAAAAAAAGCAUUCUCAUAGAAAUAAAAUUUCAGAUAAGUGAAUAUUGAAAACUAAAGCACUAUGUAAAUAUCAAUGCGCUACAUGUGUGUGAAUGAAUGAAUAAAUAUUAACUGCCUUUUGUGUACCAGCUAUUGUUUCAGGUACUGUGAAAUGCCAGAUAAUGCUCCCAAGUAGUAAGGGAGGUUUAUGUUCUAUACUAUUCACUAUACACUGCUUAUUUUAACUAAUAAAGACUUUACUGGUGAUGUCAAAUUGAUACCAGUGUAUUCUCCUAGGUAACAGCAAAAUGUAAUGAAUGAGACUGCACUUUCUAAACUAUAAAGUGCUAUAUAAAAUUUAGACAUUAGAUGUUUCCUGUGUGACUAAAAGUUUUUGCAUGACAGGCAUUAUCUCUACAAAAUUCUUGUGUGCUUGACCCACUAUGAAAGGGGUAAUACAAAUAGUUACAUAAACUGAAGGUUUAAAUACUUGUUAAAUGAAUGGAUAUCAGUUGCCUACUAGGUGAAUUAAAGAGCUAAAUAAAUUUAUCAUUUCAUUUUGCCUACAGUUGAGAAUAAGGCAGUACAUAUGUUAGCAUUUUGUGAACUCCAAAGCACCAUGUAAAUACAUGUAACUUGAUUUUCUCAUGUGGUGCCAAGUACUAAGCUAGUAAGAUUGUCACAGUUUAUAUAUAUAUAUAUAUAUAUAACAUAAAAUAAUAAUGCCAGUUUCCUUGCUAGGCACUGAGGAUGUGAAGAUGAAACCAUCUUUAUUUGUGUCCUGGGUAGCAGAAGAUAAUCUAUACAAUCAAUAAGUCUCAAAUUGCCAUACAUAGAUAAGCACUAUCUGUUGAAGGAGCACUGAUCAUUUACUCUGUCUUAUCCUCAGAGAAAGUAACUGGGGAUGUAAAAAUUCAUUAUCAUUGAACUACAUCAGAGAUCUGUGUAAACUUACAAAGUUGACUAAGGAAUUAACUGUUGGUUUAAGAAAUGAUUAUUGCUUACUUUUUAUGAGGCUUAGAACUGUGCAUGGCCUAGGAUAUAAAAAUACUAUCCUUAUUGGGUGUUCCCAGCAGGAAAUUGAGGUAUAGGUGUGAGAUCCAGACUGAAAGUUACUUAACCACUGUGAAGCUUAUCUGAUGAUGAAAAUGGGAAAAAGAAUUGUGCAGGACAGUAGGCCAAACGCUGAGCUAGGUGGAAAGAUAAAGUUCAGACCAGAAGUCUACUUGCACCCUGGUCUGAAUAGAGAUGGAGAAAGUUUUCUAAAAAGUAAAGUGCUGUUCUCCACCAGUACCAGUUUUUAAAAAUGCUGAGUGCUGAUGAUGGAGAUAUUUUAAGACCACACUUGCCUGGCUUAGAUACGCUAAAGGACUAAAAAUAAAUGGCUCAGGUUUACGUUUAGGUUAAUUUGCUAAACAGAGCAUCUUUUAUGUAGAAUACCAUUCUAGAUCCAGAGCAUAAGUGAAGUGAAAUGAGCUUUGUCUAAAGGGCAUCAGAUCACAAAUCAUAGCUGAAGAUACAAAGACAUCUUUGACUUGUAAGUAGAUAUUUCUGUGCCUGUUCUCCAGAAGGCAGUAUGCUUGAUGAAUUAAUCCAGUAGGUCUGGUUUCGAGGAUCUGUUGACUUGCCUUGGAGAUAGAAAAAGAUGGCAUGGUUCUUUAAAUAAAAAAGGAAGACAUUUUUCAUAGUUCUAGAAAGUCCCAUGUCACUUGCUUAUUUACAUGGCCUAAAGCCAGAAGAAGCCAGAUAAAAGGGCUCAAUGUUUGUCCUUUAAUAAAAUGUGAAUUAUAGUGAAAUGGUUUAAGAUACAAAUUAAGAUGAAACAACUUGUUUUAAAAGUAUUUGCUCAUUGGACUGGCUUAGAGUCAGGAAGCCACUUGAGCUAUAUAGAUGAUUAUUUCUAGAUUGUCCGUAUUUUGUAAAAAUUUAUUCAUUCUGGAUAAAGUCCUGUUCUUGAGUGUUUAGAUGAAGAGAUUUAAAAGACCUAGACCAAAACGCACUUUACUCUCACUAGCUUAUAGUGGAAACACAAGAACAAAUUUAAUAAGAGACUAUAGUUCUUCAAUUAGUUCAAAAAACUUCAUUGGAGCAGCUGUGAUACUAAAGCACUGAGAAGGAAUGAUGAAAUAGAUCACCUCUUUGGCAUGCUUUGUAGAGUAGGAAUAAAAGCUUUUUUUAUUCAUUCAUUCAUAGAAGGUAGUGCUAAAUGAAACAGGUUUGGUACUAAAGGUGCUUAGUCUGUCUUGAAAAUGCAGUAAAAACAAGAAGUGGAAUGAAAAGCUUUAUUAAUCAAAAGUUUGUUUAUUUGAAGGUACAGUGUUAAUUCCUUGACAGAAAACAAGUUGUGACUAAAGCACACUUUUUAAAAUUGGCUUGGAGCCUAGAAUAUAAGAGAAAGGUCACUGUUCAUUCACUUUUUUCAUUCAUUCACUCUACCAAGUAUAUUUGACUGUCUACUGUGUGUAAGGUCCUUUGCUAUGUUUUCAGUUGGCCCCAGAGAUGUGAAACAAACGAAUGCCUUCCCAGACAACUUUUAAAACUUUGCUUUUGGCCUGUUUUCUGGUUAUGGGCAAGAUUUAAUCUCUGAAUAAUAUUAUGGGGGUUUAAUUCCUACUCCAUAUUAUUUCCUACCACUCUGGCCACUAUAAUAAGCAGGGUUUUCUACUGAGCUUGCUCCAUAAGUUGCAGGAACUGUCCUUAUAAUAGACACUUCCUUUUCUCCUAGCCUAUUCCUCAUGAAAAAUAGCUGUGACCACUGCUGGGCAGGAGGAGAUAUAACAAAGAAAUAAUUUCCAAACCUGCCUCAUUGCUAUCAGCAUUGGGGAAUCAAUCAUUCUCAAGCCACGAUUGGUUUUGAAACAUUUACCAACUUUGUCUAUUUUGAGUUCUUUACAUUUUACAUUCUGACAAAUGUAUACUGCCUAAAUAGAUCUCUUUGAAGAAGAGUCCUUAAAUAGCACAUAGCAAGACUGGAGAUGGAGACAUGAUUUUGCUUUUGCAAUAGUUUCUCAAAAGACACCUUAGAAACCUCACCAUCAAAACCUGUUCAAGAAAGGACUUGUUAUACUGGAAUAAUGUCAGUGAAUGAAAAUAGCUUUACAAUUUCAUCAUGCUUAAGUUUUAAGAACAGUAACAAUUGGAAUUAGAAAAAAUAGGAGGGAAAAUAUUCCUUUAAAAUUCUCUCCAAAUAUAGGCCAAAGUGGGGUUUGACCUUUUCUUUUUUUAAAAUCACUCACAGAGGGUGGGAUAGGAGGAAGAGUGAAAGAAAAGGUCAAACCUCUUUAUAAGGGCAGCCUGCCAUUCCUGGAUUGGUCUUAAAAAGAUUACUACCUCCAGUCGAACUUGGGGAUUGCUUUAUUCACUUUAAUGCAGUUCUAAUAACUGGUCAUUGUUGAGAUGAAGACAAGACUCCUUUGUUCCCAGUCUUUUCUAUAAGUUCUUGAGAAUCAGUAAUUCUUGGUUGAUUGGUUUGGUUAUCAGCUAAGCCUUAGGCUAUGUAAUAAUGGGUUUUAUUAACAUGACCUCUCCAUCAUAAGGUAGUAAAGCUCAAGUCAAAAUUAACUACAAAGGAAGAUGACUUUUGUUCACUGUAAUUCAUACAUACUUCAAAGCAUCUAAACUUGAGAAUAUGUGGCAAGCCAACAGUAUCAUCCAUAAAUGGAGAAGGAAUUAGAGUAAUGACAGAGGCUAAUUGGUGGAGGGAGCAAGGCUAAAGAGGAUUAGUGGGUGAUCUUUUGAAUUUUGGAUCCGUACAUUUUAAUUUGUACAUCAGAUACAUCCAAAAUAUUCUCUGGCUUUUAAUAUGUGCUGUCAGCAGGGUUGAGUAACACCCCUUCAGGUGGGGAUGGGGGAUUGCAUUAUUAGGAAGUGAAAAGGAGAAAGUCACUAAAAGCCUUCCUUUCAAAGUUCCUGACAUCCUAAGACUACUUACUACUGAUAAGAAUAAGAGAACAUGCUGACACCUGAUUUUUGUCGCAUACAUGAAGUUGUGAACAAAUCUAUUUUUAAAGGAUAUUACUCCGUCUCUACCCUUCUACCUGAAAGGGAAUCCAUGUCAAAAUGCUGAUAAAUUGAAGAUAAACUGACUUGUGAACUCAUGUGAAAUGCAGAAUCUCUGAGCCUUGACUGGUUUGAAGAUUGAAAAACCUUACUCAGCAUGGGCGACCACCAAAAGGCAAUCUAACGCUAUCUGUUUCAAAACGAAGAAAAAUUGGGGAGUAUAUAGUCUACUGUCAAAUAAAAUUUUGAAAACUUUUA